AAGAGGCUGAUUUGAGCAUAAUAAGACUCCAGUCUUCUCCUUCGCCAGCUCUACAUGUGAAAAACUCUUUCUCUACUGCAAUUCCCCUGCCUUUAUAAAUUGGCUCUAUCUGGGCAGCAGGCAAGAAGAACCCAUUGGACACUUACAGUCCCAACAGUUUUAAGUUCCACUUCUCCCAACAGUAAGUAAUCUGCUCAUUAACACACGCUUUAUUGGCUCUUCUCCCUUCCCUGUCUCACUCUUCCCAGCCCUUCACUCAGUGCCCCUCCUAAAUAAACUACUUAUAUCCAAGUACUUGUCCCAGGAUGUGCUUUUGGAGAAACCUAAAAUAAAACAGUAAUUUUUGUGGCUAUUCAUACCUAUUAAUGGACAUUUAACUACUUACCUUUCCUUUUCUUAUUUAUUUAUUUCUGUAUUUAUUUACUCAUUUUUGAGACACAGUCUCACUCUGUGGUCCAGCCUGGAGUACAGUGGUAUGGCUCACUGCAACCUCCAUCUCUCAGGCUCAAAUGAUCCUCUCACCUCAGAUGCCUGAGUAGCUGCGAUCACAGAUGUGCACCACUACACCUGGCUAAUUUUCGUAUUUUUUUGCAGAGACGGGGCUUCACCAUGUUGCUCAGGCUGUUCUCAAACUCCUGGCCUCAAGUGAUUUGCCUACCUGGGCCUCCCAAAAUGCUAGGAUUGUCAGAGGCGUGUGAACCACAGCAAUCCCAUCUUAAAUAAGAGCUGGGUAAAAUAAGGCUGAAACCUACUGGGCUGCAUUCCCACAUGGUUAAGGUAUUCUAAGUCACAGGAUGAGACAGCAGGCCAGCACAAAAUAUAGGUCAUAAAGACAUUGCUGAUAAAGCAGUUUUCAAUAAAGGAGCCAGCCAAAACCCACCAAAACCAAAAUGGCGAUGAGAGUGACCUCUGGUCAUCCUCACUGCUACACUCCCACCAGCGCCAUGACAGUUUACAAAUGCCAUGGCAAUGUCAGCAAGUUACCCUAUAUGGUCUAAAAAGGGGGGCUGGGUGCCCUGGCUCACGUCUGUAAUCCCAGCACUUUGGGAGGCCGAGGUAGGCAAAUCACUUGAGGCCAGGAG
RNAcentral lists this long non-coding RNA (1082 nucleotides) under Homo sapiens (human). RNAcentral describes it as "HSALNT0333672". Lineage: Eukaryota; Metazoa; Chordata; Mammalia; Primates; Hominidae. The record is from RNAcentral.